RNAcentral lists this ribosomal RNA (494 nucleotides) under Coriobacteriaceae bacterium M60. RNAcentral's name for it is "bacterial SSU rRNA". It matches the Rfam family "Bacterial small subunit ribosomal RNA", at positions 8 to 521 of the family's 1533-position model. Lineage: Bacteria; Bacillati; Actinomycetota; Coriobacteriia; Coriobacteriales; Coriobacteriaceae. The record is from RNAcentral.
AGAGUUUGAUCCUGGCUCAGGAUGAACGCUGGCGGCGCGCCUAACACAUGCAAGUCGAACGGCACCCACCCCCGGGUGGAAGCGAGUGGCGAACGGCUGAGUAACACGUGGAGAACCCGCCCCCCUCCCGGGGAUAGCCUCCGGAAACGGAGGGUAACACCCGAUGACCCCGCAGCGAGGCAUCUCGCAGCGGGCAAAACUCCGGUGGAGGGGGAUGGCUCCGCGGCCCAUCAGGUAGACGGCGGGGUGACGGCCCACCGUGCCGACAACGGGUAGCCGGGUUGAGAGACCGACCGGCCAGAUUGGGACUGAGACACGGCCCAGACUCCUACGGGAGGCAGCAGUGGGGAAUCUUGCGCAAUGGGGGCAACCCUGACGCAGCGACGCCGCGUGCGGGACGGAGGCCUUCGGGUCGUAAACCGCUUUCAGCAGGGACGAGAUAAGACUGUACCUGCAGAAGAAGCCCCGGCUAACUACGUGCCAGCAGCCGCGGU